This 1186-nucleotide unclassified non-coding RNA is filed under the name Hevea brasiliensis (rubber tree). The record is from RNAcentral. Lineage: Eukaryota; Viridiplantae; Streptophyta; Magnoliopsida; Malpighiales; Euphorbiaceae.
AUCUUCUUCUUCUUCUUCUCUUUAUUUUUUAUUUUUUGAUACCUCAAUAUUAUAGUAAAGAGGAAUGCUAGCAACACUUUCUUCAUACACUUCCCUAAUUAUUAAUUCAAAUCUGAUCAUAUGUAACCUUUAACCUAUUCCACAGUUUACAUAAUUUUUUUAAAGAAAAUUCUAAAUUUAUUUAUAAUUUAUAAUUCUUUUAUUUGUUACAUUAAUUUAAAUUCCUUAAAUAAAUUUAAGGUUUUCUAUUCAGUUAAUCAAUCACUGUUGUUUAUCCUCACAUGAUCUAAUUAAAAAAAUUAAUAGCAAACUCUAUUUAACCUGUAGAAUAAGUUUCCAAUUACAUGGAAUAAGAUUUAAACAAAUAAUAGAGAAAUUGUUUCAAAGAGUGUAUGAGAAAGUAUUGCUAAAAUUCCUGGUAUGGUAAAAUUUAAUUUCUUUUCAAUGGAUAAAAAGUAAGAGGAAAGCCAAUCCUAUAAACUUAUGGCCCUUAAAGCAUUUAAGUUUCUUGGUUAUCAUACUUCAUCCAUUUGAUCGAUGUUGUAUCACUUCCAAUCUUCUCAUAUUUUAAAAUAUGUAGUCAACUAGAACCUUAUGGAGCUACUAAUUACCCUUAACAGGGUUUUCUUUGAUUUGGAAGGCCACAACUUUUAUAGAUUCUUCAAGGAAACUUUAGAUUUGAAUGUUGGAAAAAAGAUUUGAGAAGCUUGAAUGAAAUUUCCCGCCUUGCAUCGCGAACUGCGAAUGUUUCAAAAAAAUAGCACAACUCGCCUAUUGAUUCACACAGCCAAGCAGAUUAUAAUAUCUUAUAGCACCAUUCUCGCCAUUCAAUUCACUUGGAUCUAUAAAUUGAACGGUGGAAAAUUGGUAUUCACCAUUAAUAAAUUUGUAUUUACCUCUUAAAAAGAAAAAAAAAAUUAAAAGGAGGAAUUCUAACGACAUAACCAUACCAUCAACUACAUUAUUCCAUUGUACUAGUAAUCAAUUUCCCUAAUCUGUUAAUAUCGCGAACAGAACCUAAAACCAGAUCCAAUAGCUAAAUUGAACAAAAAAAAUCGCAAUAAUCUAAAUAAUUAAACUCUAAUAAACUAUUAAAUAAAAAAAAACACUCUAAUCAACUAAUUAUUAAGCCCUCGUUUAACAAAGAGAAAAAAGUAUAUCGACUAAAAAUCAAAAGCUUGAAGAG